CGGCUCCCGGCCUGCGGCAGGAGAGGCCAGGCAGCGCGGCCAGGGACCGAUUCCGUGAAGGCUCAAGGAAGACAGGCGCAGGGCUUGCCUCCUCCGCCUCGAUCCUGUCCCUUCCUCUCCCAGGUCGCCGCUGCAGCUGAACCCAGUAGCCCCUCUUAGCGCCCCGCGUGGGCCCCGCGGCUCCAGGCUCUGCUUUGGCACCUUCCGCUCCGUCUGGCAUGGCUGCUUGGCCCGCCGGCCCCAGGCCCUCGGUGGCAUGGCUGCACGCUCCCGCUGCUAGUAGGAGCUGUUUAGGGGAGGAGUUUGGGGUCUCCACAUGAUGCCUAGAGAAUGCUGCAGUCUGCACAUUAGACGCUUUUUAGAAGUUUUGAAAUUACCUUGAUUUUUUUAAUUGUUAUGAAAAACAAAUCAUUUCUUGACUCUCCCAUGCUCUGUUACUGGGAGAGUAUGCCCCCCCCCACUCUGAUGUAUAGACCAUUCUCCCUACACCAGCUGAACAGAUGUCAAAAUUAAUAAAGAAAUUGACUCAUGACACAGGGCUC
RNAcentral lists this long non-coding RNA (542 nucleotides) under Marmota monax (woodchuck). Lineage: Eukaryota; Metazoa; Chordata; Mammalia; Rodentia; Sciuridae. The record is from RNAcentral.